UCCCUGGUAGUAUAUCGGUUAGUACACGCGCCUGUCAUACGUCCCACGUAGCCAUCUCACCGCGCGAAAGCUGGGUUCGACUCCCAGCCAGGGAG
Molecule: non-coding RNA, 95 nt
Organism: Paramarasmius palmivorus
Lineage: Eukaryota; Fungi; Basidiomycota; Agaricomycetes; Agaricales; Marasmiaceae
Source: the annotation of a GenBank genome assembly